ACCAAGGCUUGACAUACACCGGAAAACCCUGGAGACAGGGUCCCCCUUGUGGUCGGUGUACAGGUGGUGCAUGGCUGUCGUCAGCUCGUGUCGUGAGAUGUUGGGUUAAGUCCCGCAACGAGCGCAACCCUUGUUCUGUGUUGCCAGCAUGCCCUUCGGGGUGAUGGGGACUCACAGGAGACCGCCGGGGUCAACUCGGAGGAAGGUGGGGACGACGUCAAGUCAUCAUGCCCCUUAUGUCUUGGGCUGCACACGUGCUACAAUGGCCGGUACAAAGAGCUGCGAUACCGUGAGGUGGAGCGAAUCUCAAAAAGCCGG
RNAcentral lists this ribosomal RNA (318 nucleotides) under Streptomyces sp. RNAcentral's name for it is "bacterial SSU rRNA". It matches the Rfam family "Bacterial small subunit ribosomal RNA", at positions 973 to 1285 of the family's 1533-position model. The record is from RNAcentral. Lineage: Bacteria; Bacillati; Actinomycetota; Actinomycetes; Kitasatosporales; Streptomycetaceae.